GUGAUUAAAUCGAGCGUGUCUUCAUUGACCGCUCACCCUUCUCACCAUCCACAUACACCUGUGCACUGUUUAGCCUGAGCCGGUUUUCCGGUCCAGGUUAUCAUUUCAUACAAACGCUAGUCUUAUGAAUGUAAACGUUUUAAUAACAUAAUA
Molecule: unclassified non-coding RNA, 153 nt
Filed under: soil metagenome
Description: partial internal transcribed spacer 1
Source: RNAcentral